AAAGAUUAAGCCAUGCAUGUCUAAGUACAAGCCUCAUUAAGGUGAAACCGCGAAUGGCUCAUUAAAUCACACCUAAUGUACAGGAUAGUAACAGUUACUUGGAUAACUGCGGUAAUUCUGGAGCUAAUACAUGCAUACAAGCCCCGACUCACGAAGGGGUGCUUUUAUUAGAUUAAAACCAAACUGCCUCGGCAGUCCCACUGGUGAUUCUGAAUAACUUUGAGCGAAUCGUAUGGCUUUAUGCCGACGAUGUAUCCUUCCAAGGUGUGACCUAUCAACUGUCGACUGU
This 289-nucleotide ribosomal RNA is filed under the name Microcyclops sp. SW-2015. RNAcentral's name for it is "partial 18S ribosomal RNA". It matches the Rfam family "Eukaryotic small subunit ribosomal RNA", at positions 39 to 329 of the family's 1831-position model. The record is from RNAcentral. Lineage: Eukaryota; Metazoa; Arthropoda; Copepoda; Cyclopoida; Cyclopidae.